This is a long non-coding RNA of Loxodonta africana (African savanna elephant), 908 nucleotides long. RefSeq lists it as uncharacterized. The transcript has 3 exons. The record is from RefSeq and is a predicted model, not a curated record. Lineage: Eukaryota; Metazoa; Chordata; Mammalia; Proboscidea; Elephantidae.
GUUACAUUAAGUUGUCAUGUUCUUUCGCUUUGUUAGUAAGAUCUGUUUCAUUUUGUGUUUCAAUGCAUAGUGCAGGGAGAGUUGUUUACGAAGAGGCAUAAGACAGAGGAAGAAGGGAUGGGAAAGGAAGAGAAUUCUUGAGCUGCACACGGACCCACAUUGUGAUCAGGGGACAGAGCUGACUCACACGGAAGAGGCGUGAUCCAUGGUACAACUAAACAAUGUGCUGGAGAUGCCUACUGCUACAGGAAUUCAGAAAACAGCAAUAUCAGUGAGGACUGGAGUUGAGAGGCAGGCUCCAGAGCUUCGGAGAAGGGAGCUGAUCCCUGAGGGAGGGGCAGAUUUGAACAGGAAAUAAGGGAGAAAGAAGGGCAUUGCAGAAAACUUCCUGCCAGGAUACAGUUACUUGCUGAACGACAAGUAGGAGAUGAGCUGCCUCAUACACGUUCUUUGAAAGUGUUGAGUGUUGAUGAUAAAGGUCAUGACUGAAGACUAACAAGGCCACAUUGUGAGUUGUUCUUCCUGGACCUCCAAGGGGGCAGAAGUCAUGCAUAUCUUGUUCACCACUGAAUCCCCAUUGCUCAGAAUGGUUCCUGGCACACAAUGAACUGAUGAAUGAAUGGCAGAUGGAUGGAGAAGAUGUUAUUGACUCACCUGCAUGGAGUUCUCUUUCUUUUGAUGAAUGGCAAAAAAACUAUAAGCUGCUGGACUGGAAUGAGAGGUGCAGAGACCUCUUCCACAUCAAACUCAACUAGCAAGUCCCUAAUUUUGCUCUCCAAUUCUUUUAGUUGCUAGAUUAUUUUCAUCUCCUACCACUCCCUACUCAUACCCAGCUUCCCAGCCAAAGUGAGCUAUUGGCCAUCCUCAGAAUGAACACACUCCUCAUGCCUCUAUGGUUUGCCCCCUCC